Molecule: ribosomal RNA, 198 nt
Filed under: Triticum aestivum (bread wheat)
Lineage: Eukaryota; Viridiplantae; Streptophyta; Magnoliopsida; Poales; Poaceae
Description: partial small subunit ribosomal RNA
Source: RNAcentral
AUGAUGAUGAUGAUGAUGAUGAUGAUGAUGAUGAUGAUGAUAUUGUAUAUCACUUUUAAUCAUAUAGGUUUCACAAAGGGCUUUUACCUCGAUGAAACACCCCUUUUCUCUUCCCCUACCCUCCCUCCGUCCCCGCCAUCGCCGCCGCCACACCGUUCCUGGCCGCAUUGCCUUCCACCAAGGCCGUCCGAACUAUGA